This 460-nucleotide ribosomal RNA is filed under the name uncultured bacterium. RNAcentral describes it as "partial 16S ribosomal RNA". It matches the Rfam family "Bacterial small subunit ribosomal RNA", at positions 338 to 795 of the family's 1533-position model. The record is from RNAcentral.
CCUACGGGUGGCAGCAGUGAGGAAUAUUGGUCAAUGGACGAGAGUCUGAACCAGCCAAGUAGCGUGAAGGAUGACUGCCCUAUGGGUUGUAAACUUCUUUUAUAUGGGAAUAAUAUGUUCCACGUGUGGGAUUUUGUCUGUACCUUAUGAAUAAGGAUCGGCUAACUCCGUGCCAGCAGCCGCGGUAAUACGGAGGAUCCGAGCGUUAUCCGGAUUUAUUGGGUUUAAAGGGUGCGUAGGUGGGUUGUUAAGUCAGUUGUGAAAGUUUGGGGCUCAACCGUAAAAUUGCAGUUGAAACUGGCAGUCUUGAGUACAGUAGAGGUAGGCGGAAUUCGUGGUGUAGCGGUGAAAUGCUUAGAUAUCACGAAGAACUCCGAUUGCGAAGGCAGCUCACUGGACUGCAACUGACACUGAGGCUCGAGAGUGUGGGUAGCAAACAGGAUUAGAUACCCUUGUAGUC